AACUAAGUUUGUCAUUGGUAUGAGCUUCAUGUGCAUGCACACUUCUUCAGAUACUGAAGAUGUGUCUUCUUCUAUCUGAAGAAGUGUGCGUGCACACGAAAGCUCAAUCCAGUGACAAACUUAGUUGG
Molecule: non-coding RNA, 128 nt
Organism: Podarcis lilfordi (Lilford's wall lizard)
Lineage: Eukaryota; Metazoa; Chordata; Lepidosauria; Squamata; Lacertidae
Source: the annotation of a GenBank genome assembly